Molecule: ribosomal RNA, 273 nt
Filed under: uncultured prokaryote
Description: partial 16S ribosomal RNA
Rfam family: Bacterial small subunit ribosomal RNA
Source: RNAcentral
UACGAAGGGUGCAAGCGUUACUCGGAAUUACUGGGCGUAAAGCGUGCGUAGGCGGUUCGUUAAGUCUGUCGUGAAAGCCCUGGGCUCAACCUGGGAAUUGCGAUGGAUACUGGCGAGCUAGAGUACGGUAGAGGAUGGUGGAAUUCCCGGUGUAGCGGUGAAAUGCGUAGAGAUCGGGAGGAACACCCGUGGCGAAGGCGGCCAUCUGGACCAGUACUGACGCUGAGGCACGAAAGCGUGGGGAGCAAACAGGAUUAGAAACCCUUGUAGUCC